GUUGCCCGCUUUCUUUAGUCCUAACACAUGCAAGUCGAACGGCAGCACAGUAAGAGCUUGCUCUUACGGUUGGCGAGUGGCGGACGAGUGAGGAAUACAUCGGAAUCUACUUUUUCGUGGGGGAUAACGUAGGGCAACUUACGCUAAUACCGCAUACGACCUACGGGUGAAAUCAGGGGAUCUUCGGACCUUUCCCGAUUCAAUGAGCCGAUGUCGGAUUAGCUAGUUGGCGGGGUAAAGUCCCACCAAGGCGACGAUCCGUAGCUGGUCUGAGAGGAUGAUCAGCCACACUGGAACUGAGACACGGUCCAGACUCCUACGGGAGGCAGCAGUGGGGAAUCUUGGACAAUGGGCGCAAGCCUGACCCAGCCAUACCGCGUGAGUGAAGAAGGCCUUCGGGUUGUAAAGCUCUUUUGUUGGGAAAGAAAAGCAGCAGGUUAAUACCCCGACGUUUUGACGGUACCCAAACAAUAAGCCACGGCUAACUUCGUG
This 492-nucleotide ribosomal RNA is filed under the name uncultured bacterium. Its description in RNAcentral is "partial 16S ribosomal RNA". It matches the Rfam family "Bacterial small subunit ribosomal RNA", at positions 28 to 507 of the family's 1533-position model. The record is from RNAcentral.